UGGUCACCUUUUUGAAGCUUGCCCCAAAUGCUACUGUAUAUAUGUGUGUGUGUGUAUGCGUGCUUGCUAGUUGCCGCAUGCACACACAUGUAUAUGGGGUGAGCCCGCACUUGCCAGUAUGGUGCUCGAGCUGGUGAGAGGUGAACGGCUAACGUUGGUGUCUAUGUGUUGCUGAGCAGGCUGUCUUCGUCCGUGGCUGUGAUGAGGCAACGCGUUAGUGCUGCAUAUGCUGCGCCAGUGCGCUAUGUGGUUUAAGACUUGAUGAGCCCACUGCUAGGGGCCGCCAACAUUUCUUCUUUUUCAAUACAUUUUUAAAACACAAAAAAAAUUCUAGUCUUACCGGUGGAUCACUCGGCUCGCGGGUCGAUGAAGAACGCAGCUAACUGCGAUAAAUAGUGUGAACUGCAGAAACCUUGAACACAAAACUUUCGAAUGCACAUUGCGCCAUUGGAGUCUUAUCCUUUGGCACGCCUGGUUCAGGGUCGUAACCCUAAUACACUUCAUUAAGUGUGAACAGUAGUGGGUUCACUCACACUCACGCCUUGCUACUGUGUGCGUGCUGUUGUGUGUGUACACGCUGAAUUUGCUAUAGCUGUGCGCUAGUGCUGGAGUUGCGGGUGUCUAUCGGGUCAGUCAGAAGUUGUUUGCUCAACCGACCCAUAGCGCCAUGAGGGCAUUUGCAGUGCGGCUAGUGCCUGUGCUUGCCUGCGCUUCAUCAGUGCUGGUGUGUAUGCUUUUUGAGUGCAUGUGUGUACAUAGGCUGCGUGCUUGGCCGCUUUGCGCUUGCUACUGUGUGCGGCGGCUGCUAGUGGCCUAUCUGCGUGCAUCAGCACUCUUAACUAUUUGCAUUUUCGACCUGAACUCAGACGUGAAUACCCGCUGAACUUUUAAA
This 892-nucleotide ribosomal RNA is filed under the name Pratylenchus bolivianus. RNAcentral describes it as "eukaryotic LSU rRNA". The stretch from base 332 to 485 matches the Rfam family "5.8S ribosomal RNA". The record is from RNAcentral. Lineage: Eukaryota; Metazoa; Nematoda; Chromadorea; Rhabditida; Pratylenchidae.